RNAcentral lists this ribosomal RNA (459 nucleotides) under uncultured bacterium. RNAcentral describes it as "partial 16S ribosomal RNA". It matches the Rfam family "Bacterial small subunit ribosomal RNA", at positions 338 to 795 of the family's 1533-position model. The record is from RNAcentral.
CCUACGGGUGGCAGCAGUGAGGAAUAUUGGUCAAUGGCCGGAAGGCUGAACCAGCCAAGCCGCGUGAAGGACGAAGGUGCCAAGCAUUGUAAACUUCUUUUGUCAAGGGACAAAAUCAGGCUCGAGAGCCUGACCGAGGGUACUUGAAGAAAAAGCAUCGGCUAACUCCGUGCCAGCAGCCGCGGUAAUACGGAGGAUGCGAGCGUUAUCCGGAUUUAUUGGGUUUACAGGGUGCGUAGGCGGGCUGUUAAGUCAGCGGUAAAAGCCCGGGGCUUAACCCCGGCGAGCCGUUGAAACUGCAUGGCUGGAGUGCGGGAGGGGCAGGCGGAAUUCCUGGUGUAGCGGUGAAAUGCGUAGAUAUCAGGAGGAACACCGGCGGCGAAGGCGGCCUGCUGGACCGCGACUGACGUUGAGGCUCGAAAGCGUGGGGAGCGAACAGGAUUAGAUACCCGAGUAGUC